This 752-nucleotide ribosomal RNA is filed under the name Microbispora rosea. RNAcentral describes it as "bacterial SSU rRNA". It matches the Rfam family "Bacterial small subunit ribosomal RNA", at positions 74 to 845 of the family's 1533-position model. The record is from RNAcentral. Lineage: Bacteria; Bacillati; Actinomycetota; Actinomycetes; Streptosporangiales; Streptosporangiaceae.
GCCAGCUUGCUGGGCGGAUUAGUGGCGAACGGGUGAGUAAUACGUGAGUAACCUGCCCUUGACUCUGGGAUAAGCCUGGGAAACUGGGUCUAAUACUGGAUACUACCUCUUACCGCAUGGUGGGUGGUGGAAAGGGUUUUACUGGUUUUGGAUGGGCUCACGGCCUAUCAGCUUGUUGGUGGGGUAAUGGCUCACCAAGGCGACGACGGGUAGCCGGCCUGAGAGGGUGACCGGCCACACUGGGACUGAGACACGGCCCAGACUCCUACGGGAGGCAGCAGUGGGGAAUAUUGCACAAUGGGCGGAAGCCUGAUGCAGCGACGCCGCGUGAGGGAUGACGGCCUUCGGGUUGUAAACCUCUUUCAGUAGGGAAGAAGCGAGAGUGACGGUACCUGCAGAAGAAGCGCCGGCUAACUACGUGCCAGCAGCCGCGGUAAUACGUAGGGCGCAAGCGUUGUCCGGAAUUAUUGGGCGUAAAGAGCUCGUAGGCGGUUUGUCGCGUCUGCUGUGAAAGCCCGGGGCUCAACCCCGGGUCUGCAGUGGGUACGGGCAGACUAGAGUGCAGUAGGGGAGACUGGAAUUCCUGGUGUAGCGGUGAAAUGCGCAGAUAUCAGGAGGAACACCGAUGGCGAAGGCAGGUCUCUGGGCUGUUACUGACGCUGAGGAGCGAAAGCAUGGGGAGCGAACAGGAUUAGAUACCCUGGUAGUCCAUGCCGUAAACGUUGGGCACUAGGUGUGGGGGACAUUCCACG